UUUGUAAUUUCUUGCACGCCCUUUUCAUCCCUUUAGAAACGAACGAAUAUGGAAACAUCGUACGAAACAUAAAAAUGUAUCUUACUCAUACAUGAAUUAUUUGCUCUUGCGACACAAACGCUUGGUAUGGCAAACGCUUGACCUGUCAACGGAAAAUCUGCAGUGAAUGGAUUGAUGGUUAGCUUUAUUUUGUACUGUCUCGUUGGAUUAGGUGAGAAACCAAUUUUUUUGACGGAUUACGGAAUACUAUUAACUUUAAACGAUGGAAAACUAUCCGGAUGAUAAUAUUACGCGUUAUGGAAAUGAAAGAAUUGUGAGGGAUCAUCGAAAAGUGUGCAUUGACAAGGUGCGACGGAAAACUUUGUCAUGUAUGGAACCGAAAGGAUUUGUGAAUGAUCUUGACCACGACGAGAGGAAACACGAGGACAUCUCUACGCCGGGCUGCCGUAAACACCUCAUAAGAGUUUUUUGCAUUAGGCGAACUGGUUUAUGUGCAACACGGCGGGUUGCACCGUCAUAGCUGAUGUUUACAGUGAGUCAUAUUCUUUUCAAAAAGGACCCAUGAUACGUUCCUGGGAUCCGUGUCCCAUCUAGAUUUUCCAAAAUAUACGAAUUAGUGCCUAAAA
Armigeres subalbatus is the source of this 626-nucleotide long non-coding RNA. RefSeq lists it as uncharacterized. The transcript is spliced from 2 exons. NCBI's taxonomy places the organism in Eukaryota, Metazoa, Arthropoda, Insecta, Diptera, Culicidae. The record is from RefSeq and is a predicted model, not a curated record.